GCUAAGGUUGGCUAAAAUUCAUGAAGUGCCAUGGUGUUCUGCUGGGUUUGGUUGUCCAUGUCAACGUGCAAUUUGAAGAUCAGAUCGCCACUCCCCGUGGAACAAACAUCUAUAGGCAGCAAAAAGAUUGUCAGUGUGUUGUACCAGGUCGGCGAGUACGCCGACAAGAACCCCAAUUCCGCCGACUGUGUCGAGGGAGCCCUUAGCCUACGUGGCUGGCUGUAAACCAAGGGACAUCACAUACUGUAAUGAACGACAAGGAGGAGCUGAGGAGUGGUCAGUACCCAAGAUCACACCCAAUUCAUCUCAUGUUUUUAAUUUUCUCUAAUCCAUUUCCUAACGUUUCUGCAAAGCAAUUUAUAUACUCCUACUGAAUUAAGUGUGAUGUUGUACGAUUUGUGGACCUGUAUAGGAUCCUGGCCGUGUAAUUAUCUCAGUUACUGUGUAUUGUCUAAUUCUCUGAGUAAUAUUCAUAUUUGGGUUAAAAAUUUGAAUAAAAGUAUUCUAGCUAAAUUAGAUUAACGAUAGCUUGAUGAGGGCAUCUGUAAUACAAUACAUAUGUUAUUUUGAGAAACUAGCUUAGUGGCCCUCGCAAAUGCGAGGGCAUCAUCUUUAAUAAGUCAAAAUGACUUUAAAUAAAUUUAUGGAUCAUGUCAUGGGAUCUAGAAUAAUACAAAUCCCAGAUCAUUGUAAAUCUACACAAUAAUUUUCACGUUGUAAAUCUAUGUGAUCUAGAAUUUGUUGUGGUCUACAACCGAAGUCGAUUAUGUGCUUUAUUAUUGCUCAUGAAUAAAAAAAUGGCUCUAGAGAGAUUAAUUCUUGGAACAAAUGAUAUCAAUAUAUAUGUUGCUGGGAGCGAGUGACUAAUCGGUGGAAUGUCUAGCUCAUGGAGCUAUCAUCCGAGGAUGCAGGUGGCCACGGAAAAUCAUUGUUUCAGAUUAUCCGUUGUUUCUGUAGUCCAUGCCGCCAAAUGAGGUCUGUUUUGGAGCAUCUCAAUUUUUUUUAUCAUUUCUCUUUGAUUGUUUCGGUGGAUUACACUGAUGGAAUGUUCACUGAGUAACUCCCAUGACCAGCUGAUCGUUUUACUUGUGGCUGUUGAAGGAUUACUUCUCUCUAUUUCUGUUGUUAUAUAACCUUGCUAUUUAAUCUCAUCCACUCUGUUUAGUUGAUGCAAACGUCCGUGCAAAUAGCAAGGGUCUAAUCACGUGGGAUUUUUUCCAGUACCUGACGCACCUCAGUUGCCUAGAAAUGUGGAAGUGGGGACAUGUACAAUCAAGAGCUCUCUCACUUGUAAAAAUUAAAUGAUGCUAGACAAACCCAUGUUCAUUUCAGGAGCAUUUCAUGUGGGUCGCUGCUUAUGCUGAAGUACGUUUCCGCUGUCGUUGGGUCACCGCUGCUGCUGGAGUACAGGUUGACGGCCUCCAUCUUGGCAUAAGGUUUAAGCCAUGGUUGUUGUUGAGAUUCCAUCCAGGGUCUUGAUCAUGGCAGCUUCCAGAUUCAUUGUACAACACUAUACCCACGAAGUAUGAAGUGACGGCGACCUUCCUCUAUUGGUAUGUCAUAUACAUCAAUCUAUUGGAGAAGCCUGGCUAUCCAUCGAGCAAACAUUGUAUAGGCUAUUGAUUAUUGUAUACAAUCAACACCCUGUAGUAAGACAUGUUAGACCAUUUACAUAGUGUUUCACCCAUCAGAUAAUUUUUUAUUUAAUGUUUGAUUACCGGGUC
Lolium rigidum is the source of this 1724-nucleotide long non-coding RNA. RefSeq lists it as uncharacterized. NCBI's taxonomy places the organism in Eukaryota, Viridiplantae, Streptophyta, Magnoliopsida, Poales, Poaceae. The record is from RefSeq and is a predicted model, not a curated record. The transcript is spliced from 3 exons.